GAUGAACGCUGGCGGCGUGCCUAAUACAUGCAAGUCGAGCGAACGGACGAGAAGCUUGCUUUUCUGAUGUUAGCGGCGGACGGGUGAGUAACACGUGGAUAACCUACCUAUAAGACUGGGAUAACUUCGGGAAACCGGAGCUAAUACCGGAUAAUAUUUUGAACCGCAUGGUUCAAAAGUGAAAGACGGUCUUGCUGUCACUUAUAGAUGGAUCCGCGCUGCAUUAGCUAGUUGGUAAGGUAACGGCUUACCAAGGCAACGAUGCAUAGCCGACCUGAGAGGGUGAUCGGCCACACUGGAACUGAGACACGGUCCAGACUCCUACGGGAGGCAGCAGUAGGGAAUCUUCCGCAAUGAGCGAAAGACUGACGGAGCAACGCCGCGUGAGUGAUGAAGGUCUUCGGAUCGUAAAACUCUGUUAUUAGGGAAGAACAUAUGUGUAAGUAACUGUGCACAUCUUGACGGUACCUAAUCAGAAAGCCACGGCUAACUACGUG
This 497-nucleotide ribosomal RNA is filed under the name uncultured bacterium. RNAcentral's name for it is "partial 16S ribosomal RNA". It matches the Rfam family "Bacterial small subunit ribosomal RNA", at positions 28 to 507 of the family's 1533-position model. The record is from RNAcentral.